CAAUAACAGGUCUGUGAUGCCCUUAGUUAUCCUAGGUCGCACGCGCCAUACAAUGUGGCGCACAACGAGUUUCCUAGGCCGAUAGGAUUGUCUCUUAGCCAGGAUCUUGAGGGAUCCGCGUGACAUCAUGGGCAUGCAGAUGACUGCUUCGAUCAUGAGUCGUUGCGACGGUGUUGCUGUGAUGUUGUCACAGCUAAGAGACACUGGGCAAUCUGAGAGAGCGCUACGUGACUGGGCUAGACUUUUGUAAUUGUUGGUCUUGAACGAGGAAUGCCUAGUAAUCGUAGGUCAUUAUCCUGCGAUGAUUAUGUCCCUGCCCUUUGUACACACCGCCCGUCGCUCCUGCCGUGGCUCGUGCCGGUGAAGAGGGGGAGGCAGCGUCAACGGAGUAACAUCUGAUUGUACGUGGAACCCCUCUGAACCUUCGCGAGUAGAGGAAGGAGAAGUCGUAACAAGGUUUUCGUAGGUGAACCUGCGAAAGGAUCAUUAU
RNAcentral lists this ribosomal RNA (490 nucleotides) under Caulerpa chemnitzia var. laetevirens. RNAcentral describes it as "bacterial SSU rRNA". It matches the Rfam family "Eukaryotic small subunit ribosomal RNA", at positions 1451 to 1831 of the family's 1831-position model. Lineage: Eukaryota; Viridiplantae; Chlorophyta; Ulvophyceae; Bryopsidales; Caulerpaceae. The record is from RNAcentral.